UCCAGGGUAGCCUAGUGGACAUGGCAUCUGCCCGGUAAGCAGAACACUGUGGGUUCGAAUCCCAUCCCUGGAC
Molecule: transfer RNA, 73 nt
Filed under: Cordylochernes scorpioides
Lineage: Eukaryota; Metazoa; Arthropoda; Arachnida; Pseudoscorpiones; Chernetidae
Description: tRNA-Thr
Rfam family: tRNA
About the family: Transfer RNA (tRNA) molecules are approximately 80 nucleotides in length. Their secondary structure includes four short double-helical elements and three loops (D, anti-codon, and T loops).
Source: RNAcentral